GAGAAAUGAUUCUUGGUUUUGAUUCACAACUUUUAUAUGUGACUGAUCCAUAUUGUACGUAUAUUCUUUUCCAGGCAAUUUCAGAGGUUGGGGAGGUCCCCUGAUUAUUGGGAUUUGUUGCCAAGUAUCCUUGGUGAACCGUAUCUUCAAUUGACUCUUGUUUCCUUNCUGCACUUGUUACAAAGCAUUAGAGGUGUUUUUCAACUUUUAUAUAUGNUUUAAAACAAAGAUAUGGAAACACAAAUCAAAGACAAAAUAAAGGAAAAAAAAGACAAGAGAAUAUCCUUUCACACAAAAAAGACAAUUCAUACCCAACUUACAUAAAUAUUCUCAGACAAACAACUACUAAAAUAUAGAACAACAUCCCUUAAGGAACGAUGAAGUCAUUGAAAUGAUGUAAUCUACAUGGACUAAAGAAGAACAACGAUUGUCCCCACUAGCUUUGAGUAAACAUUCAUUUUCCUUGUCUAUGCCUUUGCCACCAAUUUAUAGCCCAAAAUUUAUACCCUGCAAGAAGGACUCUCUAGUCCAUACAUCCGGAAACUUGCUUAUAUAUGUUAGCAUAGUAAAAAAGAUAUUAUGUAUAUGGGUAAUAAGUAUUAUAAAAUGAUGUCAUGCUAAGUUGCAUUGCACCGAAGAAUUUGAAAAACAUCAUGUCAUGAUUUUGGCUGAGAAUUAUCAAGGUUAGCCAACAAUAACAUUCCCCACCCCAAGCAAGCUUGUUAGCUUAAUCUAAAGACAGCAUAAAGUGAAAGAUCAUAAACAUAUGUGAAUGGGAAUGUAUGCAUGUGAAACCAAGGUGAGA
Molecule: long non-coding RNA, 805 nt
Filed under: Vigna radiata
Lineage: Eukaryota; Viridiplantae; Streptophyta; Magnoliopsida; Fabales; Fabaceae
Description: long non-coding RNA (VRAD_LNC007668)
Source: RNAcentral